RNAcentral lists this long non-coding RNA (204 nucleotides) under Gossypium raimondii (Peruvian cotton). RNAcentral describes it as "long non-coding RNA (GRAI_LNC007503)". Lineage: Eukaryota; Viridiplantae; Streptophyta; Magnoliopsida; Malvales; Malvaceae. The record is from RNAcentral.
UUGUGUUGGGAAAAGUUUGCCACUCAGCAUUAGUAAAGAGGACUCUUGAAACUCCUCUAUUCAAAUACCUAAGCCCAGCGACAAUUAUAGCGAACAACAUUCAGACAUGGAAUAAUUGUCUUGCAUUGAUUGAUUCACCAUCUCCUUCUGCUUAACGGUAUAUGAUUGCUUAAGCUAACAAAUGGUUACAGGACGUAACGGGGC